AAGUCGUAACAAGGUCUCCGUUGGUGAACCAGCGGAGGGAUCAUUACUGAGUUAUCCAAAAACUCCCAACCCUAUGUGAACUUACCACUGUUGCCUCGGCGAGCUGCGCUACCCUGUAGUUACUUUUGUAGCGACCUGGGAGCGCGUUAUAGGCUCGCCAGAGGACCACUAAACUCUGUUUUAUUUUGUAUCUCUGAAUCUUACAACUGAAAUCAGUUAAAACUUUCAACAACGGAUCUCUUGGUUCUG
RNAcentral lists this unclassified non-coding RNA (249 nucleotides) under fungal sp. RNAcentral's name for it is "partial internal transcribed spacer region". The stretch from base 1 to 46 matches the Rfam family "Eukaryotic small subunit ribosomal RNA", at positions 1786 to 1831 of the family's 1831-position model. Lineage: Eukaryota; Fungi. The record is from RNAcentral.